Coffea arabica (coffee) is the source of this 3132-nucleotide non-coding RNA. The record is from RefSeq and is a predicted model, not a curated record. NCBI's taxonomy places the organism in Eukaryota, Viridiplantae, Streptophyta, Magnoliopsida, Gentianales, Rubiaceae.
AUUUAAUUAAAGUUUUACCUAAUCAGGAACAACUGAGCACUAUGCCGGGAACAUCCUACCCUGGACUUACCAACGGUCUAACAAGAUUCCUGACCACUGGAGACAAAUUAAAGUGGACAGCUACUACCACUACUCAAAAGGAGUCAAGACAGUCAACAAUCAUUCCAACCACUACACCAGUCACUCCAAAAAGAGACAAAGAAAAAGUGACGGAAAUGGCAUCCGAAGAAACAGCCAGUAACUUUUUGAUAAAGCAAAUUAUGCAGAAUCCCGAGAUGCUGAAAGAAUAUCUGAAAUAUUUACAAAAGCCAAAAGAAGAAGACAAAAUAGAGGAACCAGCAGGAUCAUCCGAAUCUACUUUUGAUCCUUUUGAUGAUCCCAUCGGUGGACAAAAUCCAAACGACUUUUGAAAAAGAAUGUCGGCCACAACAAAUGAAAGCAAAAUUGAAAUUCAAAUAAAAAUGAAAUGCAGAAUCGAGCUUCUAUAAAUAGAUUCAAGAUUCAGAAGACAGGCAUCGGCAAAUAUCAGAAGUUGUAAUAGACUUGUCUAAGUUUUCCUACUACUCCCACUCACUCUUAGUUCUUCUACUAUUCCCACUCACUCUAAAUAACCAUUGUACUCAAAAGCCUUUGUAGAAGUGGAUUUCAUCAUUACAAUAAAGUUUCCAUUGUUGAAUUCAAGCUUCCGAUUGUGCACUCUCAAAAGUCAAGAACAACUGAGCACUAUGCCGGGAACAUCCUACCCUGGACUUACCAACGGUCUAACAAGAUUCCUGACCACUGGAGACAAAUUAAAGUGGACAGCUACUACCACUACUCAAAAGGAGUCAAGACAGUCAACAAUCAUUCCAACCACUACACCAGUCACUCCAAAAAGAGACAAAGAAAAAGUGACGGAAAUGGCAUCCGAAGAAACAGCCAGUAACUUUUUGAUAAAGCAAAUUAUGCAGAAUCCCGAGAUGCUGAAAGAAUAUCUGAAAUAUUUACAAAAGCCAAAAGAAGAAGACAAAAUAGAGGAACCAGCAGGAUCAUCCGAAUCUACUUUUGAUCCUUUUGAUGAUCCCAUCGGUGGACAAAAUCCAAACGACUUUUGAAAAAGAAUGUCGGCCACAACAAAUGAAAGCAAAAUUGAAAUUCAAAUAAAAAUGAAAUGCAGAAUCGAGCUUCUAUAAAUAGAUUCAAGAUUCAGAAGACAGGCAUCGGCAAAUAUCAGAAGUUGUAAUAGACUUGUCUAAGUUUUCCUACUACUCCCACUCACUCUUAGUUCUUCUACUAUUCCCACUCACUCUAAAUAACCAUUGUACUCAAAAGCCUUUGUAGAAGUGGAUUUCAUCAUUACAAUAAAGUUUCCAUUGUUGAAUUCAAGCUUCCGAUUGUGCACUCUCAAAAGUCAAGAACAACUGAGCACUAUGCCGGGAACAUCCUACCCUGGACUUACCAACGGUCUAACAAGAUUCCUGACCACUGGAGACAAAUUAAAGUGGACAGCUACUACCACUACUCAAAAGGAGUCAAGACAGUCAACAAUCAUUCCAACCACUACACCAGUCACUCCAAAAAGAGACAAAGAAAAAGUGACGGAAAUGGCAUCCGAAGAAACAGCCAGUAACUUUUUGAUAAAGCAAAUUAUGCAGAAUCCCGAGAUGCUGAAAGAAUAUCUGAAAUAUUUACAAAAGCCAAAAGAAGAAGACAAAAUAGAGGAACCAGCAGGAUCAUCCGAAUCUACUUUUGAUCCUUUUGAUGAUCCCAUCGGUGGACAAAAUCCAAACGACUUUUGAAAAAGAAUGUCGGCCACAACAAAUGAAAGCAAAAUUGAAAUUCAAAUAAAAAUGAAAUGCAGAAUCGAGCUUCUAUAAAUAGAUUCAAGAUUCAGAAGACAGGCAUCGGCAAAUAUCAGAAGUUGUAAUAGACUUGUCUAAGUUUUCCUACUACUCCCACUCACUCUUAGUUCUUCUACUAUUCCCACUCACUCUAAAUAACCAUUGUACUCAAAAGCCUUUGUAGAAGUGGAUUUCAUCAUUACAAUAAAGUUUCCAUUGUUGAAUUCAAGCUUCCGAUUGUGCACUCUCAAAAGUCAAGAACAACUGAGCACUAUGCCGGGAACAUCCUACCCUGGACUUACCAACGGUCUAACAAGAUUCCUGACCACUGGAGACAAAUUAAAGUGGACAGCUACUACCACUACUCAAAAGGAGUCAAGACAGUCAACAAUCAUUCCAACCACUACACCAGUCACUCCAAAAAGAGACAAAGAAAAAGUGACGGAAAUGGCAUCCGAAGAAACAGCCAGUAACUUUUUGAUAAAGCAAAUUAUGCAGAAUCCCGAGAUGCUGAAAGAAUAUCUGAAAUAUUUACAAAAGCCAAAAGAAGAAGACAAAAUAGAGGAACCAGCAGGAUCAUCCGAAUCUACUUUUGAUCCUUUUGAUGAUCCCAUCGGUGGACAAAAUCCAAACGACUUUUGAAAAAGAAUGUCGGCCACAACAAAUGAAAGCAAAAUUGAAAUUCAAAUAAAAAUGAAAUGCAGAAUCGAGCUUCUAUAAAUAGAUUCAAGAUUCAGAAGACAGGCAUCGGCAAAUAUCAGAAGUUGUAAUAGACUUGUCUAAGUUUUCCUACUACUCCCACUCACUCUUAGUUCUUCUACUAUUCCCACUCACUCUAAAUAACCAUUGUACUCAAAAGCCUUUGUAGAAGUGGAUUUCAUCAUUACAAUAAAGUUUCCAUUGUUGAAUUCAAGCUUCCGAUUGUGCACUCUCAAAAGUCAAGAACAACUGAGCACUAUGCCGGGAACAUCCUACCCUGGACUUACCAACGGUCUAACAAGGAACAACUGAGCACUAUGCCGGGAACAUCCUACCCUGGACUUACCAACGGUCUAACAAGAUUCCUGACCACUGGAGACAAAUUAAAGUGGACAGCUACUACCACUACUCAAAAGGAGUCAAGACAGUCAACAAUCAUUCCAACCACUACACCAGUCACUCCAAAAAGAGACAAAGAAAAAGUGACGGAAAUGGCAUCGAAGAAACAGCCAGUAACUUUUUGAUAAAGCAAAUUAUGCAGAAUCCCGAGAUGCUGAAAGAAUAUCUGAAAUAUUUACAAAAGCCAAAAGAAGAAGACAAAAUAGAGGAACCA